UACGGCCAUAUCAUAUUGAAAUACCGAUUCUCGUACGAUCACCGAAGUUAAGCAACUUCGAGCACGGUCAGUACUUUCAUAGGUGACUGCUUGGGAAUACCAGGUGUGGUAA
Non-coding RNA from Acanthosepion pharaonis, 112 nucleotides. NCBI's taxonomy places the organism in Eukaryota, Metazoa, Mollusca, Cephalopoda, Sepiida, Sepiidae. The record is from the annotation of a GenBank genome assembly.